Molecule: long non-coding RNA, 474 nt
Filed under: Cyanistes caeruleus (blue tit)
Lineage: Eukaryota; Metazoa; Chordata; Aves; Passeriformes; Paridae
Description: lncRNA (ENSCCEG00000000603.1)
Source: RNAcentral
GCAUUUUAUAGCUCCUUCUUCUAAAGAGCUGCUUAGUGUCUCUGUGCGCCACAUCUGCAGGUGCUCACAGUGUACUCAGCCAGGUCCUUCUGGGACAACCAGCUGGAGGCUCUGUUUAGGGAGGAAGACAGCAUUGUCAGAGGGGUUUUGCAAGAAGAGCUGCCCGUGUCACUGUACUCUACCUUCUAGAGCGCAUGGCAGCAUGUACUCCUUUCCUUCCAGCAGGAGGGACAGCAUUUUGUGCUCAUCUACUCUGAAUGGUCUGGAUGGAGGGUAUCGGUGAGGGAAGGAGGGGAUAGUUAACAAGCAUCACCAGCCACGUCUGCUGCAAGGGCAGAGGAAAGGGAGUCAAAGGGACAAACAGUUCAGAGAUGGUGAUGGUGAGUAUAUUUUAUGUUUGACAGAGCUUUUUUAGCAUAUGAGGACAGAAAUGAGACUGAAAAUUAAAGGUGAAAUGAUUUCCAUUUACUUCGG